UAAAGCGACUUACAGUACAUUCAAGCUAUACAUCAUGGGAAUCGAACCCAUGGCCUUUGGCGCUGCAAACACAAUGCUCUGCACAUGGAAACAAAUCAAGAACUUUGCACUUAAAAACUGUAAAAAUACGAAGGCAGUUUCUUUCAGUAGGCCUACAGCAAAGUUUUGUAUAUUUCACAAUUUUUAACUGUAUUUUUGACAGCAAAAUUGUUAACCUUAUAUCUGUUAAUAUAAAUCACAUAACACAGGGGGUAAAAUGGACACUCACAUGCUGAAUCUAAGUUUACUAAGCGGCCUUUCUAUACAUCAUUGCCAGUAUGUGGUGCACAGCCUAAUUUACACAAAUACAAAACACCAUGAUGAUAACACAUGUGACAUGAAAAUAAUACUAGAAACAUAAUUAAACUCAAAAUGUAACAUAAAAGACCUUAAUGCACGUAACUAGUAACAAAUACAGCAUUUUAGGAAACAUAAUUAUUAUUAUUAUACAAUGAUGAAGUACAGUAUCAUCAUUGUAAGAACAUAAUUUUACUUGUGACUUGUACAUACAAAAAUCUAAAUUUGAACAAUAUUUUAUCAUAAACGUAUAAAACGAGAUAAAAUAUUGUGUCCAUCCAUAUGCGCGUGAAUUUUGGUUUCGGUUUUAAAACAUGCAGGAAUUAGAAAAUAAAAUGCAGGACUUGCCUGAUGUUAAAAUAGCUAUUAGGAGAGAUAAAGUUCAGGACCUGAUUGAUGUUAAAAGAGUUUUAAAGGGGACAUUUCACAAGACGUUUUUAAGAUGCAAAAUAAAUCUUUGGUUUCAACAGAGUAUGUAUGUGAAGUUCUAGCUCAAAAUAUCAUAUAGAUAAUUUAUUAUAGCAUGUUAAACCUGCCACUUUGUAGGUGUGAGCAAAAAUGCAUUAAAUGGCAGUACAAUGCUUGGAUAGUGCAGAUUAAGGGGCGGUAUUAUCCCCUUUCUGACAUCACAAGGGGAGCCAAAUUUUAAGGGACUAUUUUUUCACAUUUCCAGAGAAUGGUUUACCAAAACUAAAUUACUGGAUUGUUUCUUUUCACAUUUUUUAGGUUGAUAGGAACACUGGGGACCCAAUUAUAACAUUUAAACAUGGAAAAGUCUGAUUUUCAUGAUAUGUCCCCUUUAAGGAGCGACAAGACAAGAAAACGAUCUUCCUCACGCUUUUACUGACAGAUCCGAAGCAUGCACAGAUGCGCAAGCGUGUGUCCCCGAUAUAUAGACAAUUACAGUUUUAAAAAUAUCUGUUUUGACAAGAAUUCACACAGAUAUAAUCUGUUAUGUCUUAAUGUUUGGUUAACUGUUAGGGAAAAUAUUACAUCCUUGCAUGACAGUAGAUCUUAAAGCUGUCUGUUUCAAUAUCAAUUAAACAAUAAAAGAAAGAAAAAGCUAAACAUAUAUUUUUCCUAAAGUACUGUAUUGUUUUUGACUUUGUGUGUGUUAAAUCUAUUAGUUUACCAGUGAUUUUAAUGUAUGAAUGCAGUCAUUUUGCUUUUAAACAUCUUUAACUCGAUUUUCUCAAAACUGACUGCUGACUCUGUCAACUUCAAACAUGUGUAUAGCUCUGUCAAUUUUUGUCAGAUUCCAACAAAUAAUACAUUAUUUAUUUUUAUUUUUUUUUUUAUGGAAAAUCUCAAAAUCUCAAAUAAUUUUUUAAAAUUUGCUCAUUCCGACUCAUUUUCCCAGCUCGGGUCACAUUUAUUUUAAUUAGUAAAAAUAUAAUCAAUUAAUAAGAACAUAGUUUUGAUUCCCAACUCUAAAAAUAAAAUAUCUUUAUCUACAGUCUAGCUUUAUAGACAAUAAAUAUGAAGCAUGUGUUUUAUACAGGUAUCAUAGAGAUGCCAGAAAUCCAAUAUAUGCUUGGGUAAUAUUUUACCUUAUCUUUAUAGUCAAUAAGCAUGAAACAUACUGUACUGUAGCAAAUUUACUCGUAAACAUCCUUAUACCAGAGAGGUCGCGUGUUACAAUGCAGCUGUAUGAAAUUUCAGCCACGACUUUGUUCAGCUGUAUCAAUCGUCAUUAAAUAUUGCAUAACUAUUUAUCUAGCCAAUGGCUAUUAAGUUUAUGGCCUUCUUGUCUAUGUGACAUCAUGUAAUAUAUGUGAAGCUGUGAGUCUUUUGAAUCAAUACAGAUGCGAUGAUGUUUCCAAAGCAGUGAACAUAUGAAAGCACUUCAGCUAGAUUUAGCCGCGUGAGGCCUAGAUCAAAUAUUGAGUGAAUUAAGGAGGGGCAUCGACACAUCAAAGAUCUUCUUUCUAUCAGAGAGAGAUUAAAGAAAACCUUGAAGAAGUGGGUGAAGGAGACAAAAUUGUACCUCUUUGGACUGUCAAUACCUGAUCCAGUAUGCACUUACACUCCCAAAAAUAAAGGUUCUUUGUCAGGCUGUAUGGUUCCAUAAAGAACCUUUAACAUCCGCAGAACCUUUCUGUUGCUCUUCAAAGAACUUUUGACUGAAAAGUUAUUUAAUACCAAAAAUGGCUUUUGCUGCAUCUUUAUUUUUUAGAGUGUAGCAUAUCCGAGGAAAAAUAAUCACUUCCCACCACCUGGAUGACAUAUCUUGAAGGACAUAUUAGAUAACCUUGAGGAUCUCAAAGAAAAGUAGUCCACAGUCAAAUGUCUAUCAGUAUCUAUCUGAUGAUUUCUCAACGGGCUGGGAUGAAUGCUUGGAGGGUGAUCUGUACCAGGGGCUCUCUCUGUAAAAUUGUACAGAUAAACUCCUGGCAGGUCAAAGCCAGGCCGUGUUCUGAACCGUAAUCAGGUCUGGCAAGAUUAGGCUAAUAUAAGUCUUUCGGUCAUCCUUUAUAGUAAAUCACAAUUCUUCUUCUAAUGCCAGGGCUUCCCAAGGCAGGACAUCCAUGAAAAAAGUAAAAGAACCCAGCAGAUUAAAACCAUCUCAGUCUGUCUCUCAAUGUCUGUUCUUCAAAGACCCUAGAUAGCAUCUGAGAUAACAUGGCGCUCGGAUACUAGGAGAUUUAUUUUGGAGAGAGAAUAGAUAGCGUGCCAUGAACAGAGUGGUCACUUUAUAACCCCUUUAUUUUGCAUGUGGUUAUGUCUCUUGCUUUGAUUGGUUUUCCCGUCUGAUUUCAGGCUAACUGAGACAUGGAAAAAUACAGACGAGAAUGAAAAGGCGAGAGGUGCACUUGUGGGUAUUCGCAUGGUAGUUAAGUUGAGCUGUGGCAAUGGAGGUAAAGGUGAUUGAGCAACUAUGAACCCCAUUCCUGUCGGUUCUCUUUUCCCCGCCGUGACCGGCUGUAUGAGACCUCAUAAAUAUGCAUUCAGUGAUGGUAAUUGAUCCAUCAACACUGAAGCAUCGUGUUUUAGUCUCCUUCGCCACAUCAUGCCUUCCAGAUUGCGGCCCAAUCACAAACAGCUUGUGGAGAAACUCACACAGCCGAGCAGAUGAUGGGGUGGUGUCAGAUACACAUGUCUGUAGCAGGGGCUGAUGGGAAUCUGACUGUGUUUGGGGAAGAAGGGGUCAGCAGGAAGACGUUGAUUGGGCAGUAAGCCAAAGCUCUCCUGCACAGGGCACUGCAUUGAUCCACACCCAUGCAGCUUUGGACCGCUUUGUGCAACCUUCACAAUAAAUGCCAGGGACGUCUUUGUCUAAGGUUAAAUUGAAGUGGUACCCUCAGCCAAUAGUUGGUGACCACAGGGAUUAAGGGAAGAAGUCACAGGGGCGCUGGACCACACAUCCUCUAUGCAAGUAGCCAUAGAUGCCCAUGCCAUAGAUGACAAAGCUGCAUCUAUUCUCUCUGUCCCACCUCUCAUUUAUUUCAAAUGUUUACAUAUCCCACAUAACAUUUACAUGCAUUUAUCCAAAGCAACUUGCAGUGCAUUUAAGGUAUACAUUUUAUCAGUAUGUGUGUUCACUGCUUGCCACUGUAGUAUAGUAGGCAGCUAACACUUUAUUUGAUUGUAUUGAGUUGACACUUUCAGAUUUGUUGCAGGUUCAAAUUACUUUUUGGUCCCCGAUUUUCAAUAACCUGAUUUAAAUUAAAGAUUUGUGCAAAGCUUUAGCAUAAUUUUUAAAAUGUCAAUAAAACUGUUGCAAAAUGGCGGCAUUCUCUUUAACCAA
Misgurnus anguillicaudatus (oriental weatherfish) is the source of this 4084-nucleotide long non-coding RNA. RefSeq lists it as uncharacterized. The record is from RefSeq and is a predicted model, not a curated record. Lineage: Eukaryota; Metazoa; Chordata; Actinopteri; Cypriniformes; Cobitidae.